GACGGGGGGGGGCAAGUGUUCUUCGGAAUGACUGGGCGUAAAGGGCACGUAGGCGGUGAAUCGGGUUGAAAGUGAAAGUCGCCAAAAAGUGGCGGAAUGCUCUCGAAACCAAUUCACUUGAGUGAGACAGAGGAGAGUGGAAUUUCGUGUGUAGGGGUGAAAUCCGUAAAUAUACGAAGGAACGCCAAAAGCGAAGGCAGCUACG
This 205-nucleotide ribosomal RNA is filed under the name uncultured bacterium. Its description in RNAcentral is "partial 16S ribosomal RNA". It matches the Rfam family "Bacterial small subunit ribosomal RNA", at positions 524 to 729 of the family's 1533-position model. The record is from RNAcentral.